RNAcentral lists this ribosomal RNA (826 nucleotides) under uncultured Campylobacter sp. RNAcentral describes it as "bacterial SSU rRNA". It matches the Rfam family "Bacterial small subunit ribosomal RNA", at positions 647 to 1476 of the family's 1533-position model. The record is from RNAcentral. Lineage: Bacteria; Pseudomonadati; Campylobacterota; Epsilonproteobacteria; Campylobacterales; Campylobacteraceae.
UGAGGGAGAGGCAGAUGGAAUUGGUGGUGUAGGGGUAAAAUCCGUAGAUAUCACCAAGAAUACCCAUUGCGAAGGCGAUCUGCUGGAACUCAACUGACGCUAAGGCGCGAAAGCGUGGGGAGCAAACAGGAUUAGAUACCCUGGUAGUCCACGCCCUAAACGAUGUACACUAGUUGUUGGGGUGCUAGUCAUCUCAGUAAUGCAGCUAACGCAUUAAGUGUACCGCCUGGGGAGUACGGUCGCAAGAUUAAAACUCAAAGGAAUAGACGGGGACCCGCACAAGCGGUGGAGCAUGUGGUUUAAUUCGAAGAUACGCGAAGAACCUUACCUGGGCUUGAUAUCCUAAGAACCUUUUAGAGAUAAGAGGGUGCUAGCUUGCUAGAACUUAGAGACAGGUGCUGCACGGCUGUCGUCAGCUCGUGUCGUGAGAUGUUGGGUUAAGUCCCGCAACGAGCGCAACCCACGUAUUUAGUUGCUAACGGUUCGGCCGAGCACUCUAAAUAGACUGCCUUCGUAAGGAGGAGGAAGGUGUGGACGACGUCAAGUCAUCAUGGCCCUUAUGCCCAGGGCGACACACGUGCUACAAUGGCAUAUACAAUGAGACGCAAUACCGCGAGGUGGAGCAAAUCUAUAAAAUAUGUCCCAGUUCGGAUUGUUCUCUGCAACUCGAGAGCAUGAAGCCGGAAUCGCUAGUAAUCGUAGAUCAGCCAUGCUACGGUGAAUACGUUCCCGGGUCUUGUACUCACCGCCCGUCACACCAUGGGAGUUGAUUUCACUCGAAGCCGGAAUACUAAACUAGUUACCGUCCACAGUGGAAUCAGCGACU